RNAcentral lists this ribosomal RNA (253 nucleotides) under uncultured bacterium. RNAcentral's name for it is "partial 16S ribosomal RNA". It matches the Rfam family "Bacterial small subunit ribosomal RNA", at positions 524 to 776 of the family's 1533-position model. The record is from RNAcentral.
UACGGAGGGGGCAAGCGUUAUUCGGAAUUAUUGGGCGUAAAGGGCGCGUAGGCGGCUAGAUGUGUCAAAGGUGAAAUCCCUCGGCUCAACUGAGGAACUGCCUUUGAAACUGUCUGGCUUGAGGCCGGGAGAGGGUAGCGGAAUUCCCAGUGUAGCGGUGAAAUGCGUAGAUAUUGGGAGGAACACCAGUGGCGAAGGCGGCUACCUGGACCGGUUCUGACGCUGAGGCGCGAAAGCCAGGGGAGCAAACGGA